AACGAACGCUGGCGGCAGGCUUAACACAUGCAAGUCGAACGGACGUAGCAAUACGUUAGUGGCAGACGGGUGAGUAACGCGUGGGAAUAUGCCCUUUAGUUCGGAACAACUCAGGGAAACUUGAGCUAAUACCGGAUAAGCCCGAGAGGGGAAAGAUUUAUCGCUAAAGGAGUAGCCCGCGUCUGAUUAGCUAGUUGGUGAGGUAAUGGCUCACCAAGGCGACGAUCAGUAGCUGGUCUGAGAGGAUGAUCAGCCACACUGGGACUGAGACACGGCCCAGACUCCUACGGGAGGCAGCAGUGGGGAAUAUUGGACAAUGGGGGCAACCCUGAUCCAGCCAUGCCGCGUGAGUGAUGAAGGCCUUAGGGUUGUAAAACUCUUUUGUCCGGGAAGAUAAUGACUGUACCGGAAGAAUAAAGCCCGGCUAACUACGUGCCAGCAGCCGCGGUAAGAGUACUCUAU
This 462-nucleotide ribosomal RNA is filed under the name uncultured bacterium. Its description in RNAcentral is "bacterial SSU rRNA". It matches the Rfam family "Bacterial small subunit ribosomal RNA", at positions 29 to 535 of the family's 1533-position model. The record is from RNAcentral.